This 73-nucleotide transfer RNA is filed under the name Caulifigura coniformis. RNAcentral's name for it is "Planctomycetes bacterium Pan44 tRNA-Glu". It matches the Rfam family "tRNA". From Rfam's summary of the family: Transfer RNA (tRNA) molecules are approximately 80 nucleotides in length. Their secondary structure includes four short double-helical elements and three loops (D, anti-codon, and T loops). The record is from RNAcentral. Lineage: Bacteria; Pseudomonadati; Planctomycetota; Planctomycetia; Planctomycetales; Planctomycetaceae.
GGCCCCAUCGUCUAACGGUUAGGACACUGGAUUUUCAGUCCAGGUAUAGGGGUUCAAAUCCCCUUGGGGUCAC